GUCUUGGAACCUUUGGUCAUUUGAUGGUUUUGAAAAAAGCUUACAUAACUCUUUUUAGCUCCAUAUCUCUCCCAAAUUUUCCUUCUCUAAAAAGAGUCUCACCACCCUAUUCUAAGUCUUGAGAAUAGCUAGGAAGACCUCUUGCUGGUCCUCAUUGGAGCUAUUUGAAGAAAUUUGAAAAGCUACAAAGCUUGUGAUUAUCCCAAAAUUGAUGCUUCACAUAACAUCCCCAAGAGCCAAGCAAACCGUCUGCAAGAGACGAUGAAAACAAAAGAUAAAUAUUCGAGACGUACCAGUGAAGAAUGUGGACGAAUCUAGGGCUUCGAUGCGCCGUCGCUCGAAGAGAUGGAGGCCGCUAUCAGAGUUCUUCGUUGCUCGGGCCGCUGGAUCGUCCUCGUCGCAUGUAAUGGAGCUGGGUUUGCACUAACAAUGGAGCUCGUUCGCGUGGCGGAAGGAGGUAGAAAUUUUUCAGAGUGACAAAGUUUAAUGGUGAAAACUAAAGGCAGGGUUAAAAAAUGUUUGGUCACUUUUAAUGGCAAGUUGGGCCUCACCAAAGACGAGCUUACAAUGUGGGGCCUAGUCCGACAUUGAAGCAUAAAAUUUAAUUUCUUUUUAUAAUUUUAGCACCUUUUUACCUUGUGGGACAUUGUUUCCUCGGUGUUUUUUUUCUUGUCUGACAUUAAAACCCAGAUUUCUAGUAGUAGCAUAUCAAUAUUUAUGGAGUUCCAUCCCAAAAUCAAUUGGUUAGAGGAAUAUCCCAUUUAUAAUAUAGAUCCUUGUUA
This is a long non-coding RNA of Momordica charantia (bitter melon), 782 nucleotides long. RefSeq lists it as uncharacterized. The record is from RefSeq and is a predicted model, not a curated record. NCBI's taxonomy places the organism in Eukaryota, Viridiplantae, Streptophyta, Magnoliopsida, Cucurbitales, Cucurbitaceae.